This 489-nucleotide ribosomal RNA is filed under the name uncultured bacterium. RNAcentral describes it as "partial 16S ribosomal RNA". It matches the Rfam family "Bacterial small subunit ribosomal RNA", at positions 30 to 507 of the family's 1533-position model. The record is from RNAcentral.
AUUGAACGCUGGCGGCAUGCCUUACACAUGCAAGUCGAACGGCAGCAUGAUCUAGCUUGCUAGAUUGAUGGCGAGUGGCGAACGGGUGAGUAAUACAUCGGAACGUGCCCUGUAGUGGGGGAUAACUAGUCGAAAGAUUAGCUAAUACCGCAUACGACCUGAGGGUGAAAGUGGGGGACCGCAAGGCCUCAUGCUAUAGGAGCGGCCGAUGUCUGAUUAGCUAGUUGGUGAGGUAAAGGCUCACCAAGGCGACGAUCAGUAGCUGGUCUGAGAGGACGAUCAGCCACACUGCGACUGAGACACGGCCCAGACUCCUACGGGAGGCAGCAGUGGGGAAUUUUGGACAAUGGGCGAAAGCCUGAUCCAGCAAUGCCGCGUGUGUGAAGAAGGCCUUCGGGUUGUAAAGCACUUUUGUCCGGAAAGAAAUGGCUCUGGUUAAUACCUGGGUCGAUGACGGUACCGGAAGAAUAAGGACCGGCUAACUACGUG